UGGGGAAUAUUGGACAAUGGGGGAAACCCUGAUCCAGCAAUGCCGCGUGAGUGAAGAAGGCCUUAGGGUUGUAAAGCUCUUUCACCCGCGAAGAUAAUAACGGUAGCGGGAGAAGAAGCCCCGGCUAACUCCGUGCCAGCAGCCGCGGUAAUACGGAGGGGGCUAGCGUUGUUCGGAAUUACUGGGCGUAAAGCGCACGUAGGCGGAUGCGCAAGUUGGGGGUGAAGUCCCGGGGCUUAACCUCGGAAUUGCCCUCAAAACUGCACGUCUUGAGACCGAGAGAGGUAAGGGGAAUUCCUAGUGUAGAGGUGAAAUUCGUAGAUAUUAGGAAGAACACCAGUGGCGAAGGCGCCUUACUGACUCGGUACUGACGCUGAGGUACGAAAGCGUGGGGAGCAAACA
Molecule: ribosomal RNA, 402 nt
Filed under: uncultured bacterium
Lineage: Bacteria
Description: bacterial SSU rRNA
Rfam family: Bacterial small subunit ribosomal RNA
Source: RNAcentral